Molecule: ribosomal RNA, 253 nt
Filed under: uncultured bacterium
Lineage: Bacteria
Description: partial 16S ribosomal RNA
Rfam family: Bacterial small subunit ribosomal RNA
Source: RNAcentral
UACGUAGGGAGCAAGCGUUGUCCGGAUUUACUGGGUGUAAAGGGUGCGUAGGCGGCUUUGCAAGUCAGAAGUGAAAUCUAUGGGCUUAACCCAUAAACUGCUUUUGAAACUGCAGGGCUUGAGUGAAGUAGAGGUAGGCGGAAUUCCCGGUGUAGCGGUGAAAUGCGUAGAGAUCGGGAGGAACACCAGUGGUGAAGGCGGCCUACUGGGCUUUAACUGACGCUGAGGCACGAAAGCGUGGGUAGCAAACAGG